GACGAACGCUGGCGGCGUGCCUAAUACAUGCAAGUAGAACGCUGAAGCGAGGAGCUUACUCUUCUUGGAUGAGUUGCGAACGGGUGAGUAACGCGUAGGUAACCUGCCUUGUAGCGGGGGAUAACUAUUGGAAACGAUAGCUAAUACCGCAUAACAAUGGAUGACACAUGUCAUUUAUUUGAAAGGGGCAAUUGCUCCACUACAAGAUGGACCUGCGUUGUAUUAGCUAGUAGGUGAGGUAAUGGCUCACCUAGGCGACGAUACAUAGCCGACCUGAGAGGGUGAUCGGCCACACUGGGACUGAGACACGGCCCAGACUCCUACGGGAGGCAGCAGUAGGGAAUCUUCGGCAAUGGGGGCAACCCUGACCGAGCAACGCCGCGUGAGUGAAGAAGGUUUUCGGAUCGUAAAGCUCUGUUGUAAGUCAAGAACGGGUGUGAGAGUGGAAAGUUCACACUGUGACGGUAGCUUACCAGAAAGAGACGGCUAACUACGUG
Molecule: ribosomal RNA, 497 nt
Filed under: uncultured bacterium
Lineage: Bacteria
Description: partial 16S ribosomal RNA
Rfam family: Bacterial small subunit ribosomal RNA
Source: RNAcentral